Long non-coding RNA from Leptopilina boulardi, 1169 nucleotides. RefSeq lists it as uncharacterized. NCBI's taxonomy places the organism in Eukaryota, Metazoa, Arthropoda, Insecta, Hymenoptera, Figitidae. The transcript is spliced from 6 exons. The record is from RefSeq and is a predicted model, not a curated record.
AGUGGUGGGAGAAAACGACCUAUAUUUAUAGACGUUGGCACCAAAAGCGCCUGCCAAUCAGCGCUACCGCAGUGAGUGCCCGGUCCAAUCAGGGCAUAGCAGCCAAAUGCUCGAAGUGCUCGAAGUAUAAAAACUAGUUUUCCCUGCGCGCACGCUCAGUUCCGUCUUGGAAGUCAUCGAGGUAACAUCUAUGUCGCUUGAAGAAAUUUUUUUUUUUGAGAAUUUUCAAUUUAGCAAGCACUGAAUUCCCCCACUUUUUUGCAGUAGAAGAGAAGAAUUCAAGGUCAAAAGAAAAAAGAAGACCUUUUUAACAUCAAGAUGUUGGACAAUGCAGCUGGGAUUGAGAAACGCAUGGAAUUAGCGCGUAUGCAUGCCGAUAAUGAUCUCGAAGCAUCAACUAAUCCCGGGAGCAUCUUAACCUUGGAUGUGCUUCGGUUCCUAGGUGGCAUUUCAUCUGCACAUCGACCAAGGGUUAUCUGCACUAUUAUUAGAGGAACCAGAGGAAACUAUAGUCCAUGUUUUCUCACUCUGAUGGAUUCAACUUGAAACUUCUUUCAUGCUGCAAGGGGUCAAGUGCUGAGUGUCAGGAAUUCUGAUUAGAUUCUAUACUCGAUGGUUUGUGGUGUCCUGAAAAGAGAAGAGCGAAAGUAAAAAAAAAAGGGUAUCUUGAAGAAUAGAGAAAUCUCCAAAAUUCUUCAAUUGCUGCGGACUUUUUAGAACUCGGUCUAUUUUUACGGUUAUUUUUCACAUUUUCCGAAUGGAAAUUUAACUUGAAAGUAGGGAUCUCCGAGGGCUAUUUAGUUUGCAAGAAUCUUCGUGAUGCUGAGAAUUUCUUAUUAAGAUAUAAUAUGUUACCUUCUUAUGCCUCGAGAAAAUUAAUCAACGUUUAUAAGAUUAUACUGCGUUUAUGGGAUCUCCGUGUAUAUAUGUGUAGUGUGUGUUAAUGUUUUUUUAUAGUUCGUGAGUGAUAAUUUAAAAAAAAAGUGAAUUUUUUUCCGAGUUAAUAUUAUAUAGUGUCAAAGUGAAUUUCUGCAUAUAUCAAUCAACAUAAUCAAGGAUUCAAAAGCAGUGUGUGUGUGUAUCUUCGAUAUCGGUGUUUUUUGUUUCUUGAAGAAAAGGUGUUUGUUCCAGAGCUACUACAGAUGUCUAUUGCUGAAGCAGUUCAAUGU